Molecule: transfer RNA, 76 nt
Filed under: Candidatus Rokuibacteriota bacterium
Lineage: Bacteria; Candidatus Rokuibacteriota
Also listed under: 3 other names
Description: tRNA-Cys(gca)
Rfam family: tRNA
About the family: Transfer RNA (tRNA) molecules are approximately 80 nucleotides in length. Their secondary structure includes four short double-helical elements and three loops (D, anti-codon, and T loops).
Source: RNAcentral
GGCGGCGUACCCAAGUGGUUAAGGGAGCGGACUGCAAAUCCGCGAUGCGGCGGUUCGAAUCCGCCCGCCGCCUCCA